Corvus hawaiiensis (hawaiian crow) is the source of this 3355-nucleotide long non-coding RNA. RefSeq lists it as uncharacterized. The record is from RefSeq and is a predicted model, not a curated record. NCBI's taxonomy places the organism in Eukaryota, Metazoa, Chordata, Aves, Passeriformes, Corvidae. The transcript has 3 exons.
CCUUUCUAUUCUUUUUUCCAUAUAUACUUUCUCAGAGACACCAAUUUAACUUUAGCAUAGUUUCAGUAGCUGCUACAGAAAUGUCUCAUUUCAAUGUUUUCAGUCCCUUAAAACAAAACAUUACUUUUUAUUUGUAAAAGAAAGGAUAUUAAGUCUUGUAAUUGUCCUGUACAUUUACCACAAUGUAUUUAAGCAUUUUAAGAAAUUGUUUUCCAGGUAUUCUUAAAUUUUAUAAAAUAUUUAAAUAUUUAGCUUCAAAUUUUGAGGAUAUUUUACUUAAAGUUGCCAUAACCUGGGUGAUCAUAGUGAAUCUACAAGCGCUGACCCAUCAUUUUUAGAAAUCUUAAUUUUUAUGCUUGACGUUUUCUAGAUUCAUCUUUUCCUCAAGAUUUUACAUAUUAAAAAAAAAAAUCCCCUCUUGUAAAUCAUCCAGACAUUUUCUGAGUAUCCAUGGAGUGGAAAGUGCACAUGCUUAAAAUGACAUUAUUCUCACUUUUCUUUUGGAUCAACUCUGUCUCUGGAAUGGUUAGAGCUGAAAUUUCAAAUUUGGUAGGGAAACCUCUCUCAUUGAGAAGUACUUUUGAGGGUUCCUCUGUAAAUUGAUUUUGAUUUGAAUGAGUUCUGAGCCCUUGAAAAUCAUACUUAGUACAGAUAUGAGUAUCAUUCUUAGCACACUGAAGGAAAAAUCACAGUGGCUGUGAUUUUGGAGUAACAUGUGGAAUAUAGGUAGGCUGUGGUGGAGGAGACAGUCAUAUAUUGAAAUACUGAGUGGCCAUGCACAGUGAAUACAGGAGAGUGCACUUGUGUACUGUGCUGAGCAUAAAACCAGGUCUGUUUACUCAGCUGAAUUUUGUUCAGCACAGAAACGUUGUUGGGCAAGUGAGGAGCAAUGAACGUGGGUUCAAGACCAGGAUUUGGGAUUACUGCACAUGCCCCCUGCUUUGCAGUAGCCAUUGCAGCCUCAGUGCUGGGAUGGCAGCUGCAGCCUUGGCACUUCUCUGCAUUGAAUACGGAAGCCGUUGGUUCUGAAUAAAUAGAUGGAAAUGCACUUUCUCUCGGAGGGUCCUGGGCUGUUUCACUGGCUGCGGAAGAAUCCCUUUGCCCAUGACAGCCAGGCUGAUUUUCUGCCAUGCUGGCCACAGGCAAGGCUACAUCAUCUGCCACGAGCAACAGAAUAUUUACUAUCAGCUGCACUAAGGAGAAUUAGCAGCAGCAUUACCAAAUCACAUCAGCAGCUUGGAUGCGUCGAGCACAGAAAAUUACUGACAACUGCUCCACUGAGCCACCAGUGAAUCCCACUGUGCAAUCCGUGUGCGUGCAUGUCCUGCUGGAGCCGCUGGAUUCCUCAGCACACCUUCCAGACCCUCAUUUGGAUUAAUAAUAUAAAUAUGCACUGUGAGCUCUUGUGAAUUACCAGAUUAAUUUAUCUUUGUGGAAAUUACUUUUUUUCCUCUUUUAAAUGAGUCAGUCAGAGGGGCUGAAUAUGGCAUUCAAGAAUUAUGAUGGGUGGGAGCAUUUUUAAGUGACUGAUUUUGCAGCACAAUGUGCCCUAUAUUUAUUGGCCUUUUACUCUAGGGCUAUUUUAAUUGUUAUCUGUUCAUGCAUGUUAGACUAUAUAAUGAAAUGCUCCCAUUUCACUCAUAGAGUGGAGAGUUUUUUAUGUGUAUCUCUAUUAAUGACCCUUAAUUAAGUUGAUUUUAGUAAUUUAAAUGUGAUUUUCCUCUGGUCAAGAAGUAUUUUUAACGGGAGAUGUUGAAAAUGAACUCUCACAUAAGCCCUUUUCUAAUGCUUCUUGUUUAACAGUUACAGCAAUUUAUCAAGCCAUGUUUUCAAUGAAUGAAGUGUGGGAUAGCUGUGCAAAAACCUGCUCAUUUAUAUGAUUCAUCAAAUGUGAUUGUUAGCAACCGUUUUUCUGGUAUUUAUUCAUGAAAAAUUUCAAUUUUCCAAGCAAAUAACAAAAAUAUUACCAAUGGAUAAACUUCGUGACAGUUCUGAGCUACAAUAAAUAAAAGGGUACAUCUUAAAAGAGACAAGAAAUAAAUUAACAUAUUUUAAAAUAAUUUAGUCAUAGUAUCAACAGAAGCAGAGUACCAGAAUUAUUUAGGAUUACAAGAAUUAACAUCCCAAACUAUUUAGGAAAUAAAAUCGACUUGCUUUCGAUAAAGUUAACAACAUCAAAAGCAUUGUUCUGACAACCCUUUUCAAAAUAUGUGAUUUAAUCUUUCUUUUUAAACUGAAAAAAGAAUGACUGGAGAUUUUCUGAAUAUAUACUCACUUGGAGGUAAAACACUAGAGAUCUUUCAUUUGGCUUGUCAGGUGAUUUUACUACUCUAGCAUAAUUUAGCUACUUGUGCAAAUAUUCAUUUUGCUGAAACUUCUGAGGAUUGAAGUUUAAAAUGAGGUAUUAAAAAUCACUAAGGGUAACAAUACGUGGAAUCCAGCCAAGUCAACUAGGUAAGAAUACUUAGUUUUUUACCACUAAUUACAAAAUGUUCCCAUUUUUCAAUCCAAAAUAAUUGCUGUGGUUUGAAAGACCUUAACUUGCAAUUGUAACUCUAACUGUCUAAUAAAACACCGACUUUGUAACCCCCCUUGUUGCAAAGGUAUGUCCAAGCUUCAAAAAUAGGAUGGGAAAGAUUAAAGGUUCUUUCCAGCUCUGGGUAACCUGUGUAGCAGAAGAGCAGCUCACAUUUCACAUGCAAUAACCUGUGCAUUUGCUAAAAAAAAAAAGAAGAAAAAAAAAAAAGGGAAAAAAAAAAAAGAAAAAAACUCCAAGAACAACACAGGGAAAUGCCUGAGGCAGAAGUUGAAACUGAUUGGGCAAAGUAGAAGGACAAGAGCCCUUGAAAUUAAACAAAAGCAAAUUCAUUCUGUUGACAGAUGUUGAUUACAUCAAAGCCAUGAAAGAACUUUUUUUUGUUUCUCUUUUUUUUUUCCUUUUUUGCAACUAAUACCUCCACAUUUUCUGUACAUUACGGAUAUAACGUACCUUAAUCAACAUAAUCCAACACAUAAUAAUUCUCAAAUUUGGUAAAAGUAUAUUGCAAGAAGGUCUUAACAACAGGCUUCUCCAAACAAGAGUGUAUUCACAUGGUCAUGUCUGCAUACCCCUGCUGGUCACGCCAUCAUCAGCCCCUUACUUCCAGGGGUUAACUGCUCUGGCAGCCAAAUAAAAUACAGAGAGCGCUGUGUAAUUAUGGAGACAGUCAAAGGGCAGACUCUAUUUUGAAAUCUAUUUGCACAGACAAGGUCUUCCAAUUUUGCUUACAGGAAACAAGCUGGUAAAGGGGGUCUCCUCCUCUCCAGAUGCUUUCCACACGUUUUUCCCACAUCAGGAAAUCGUGGACAUGGACAC